Small nucleolar RNA from Oryctolagus cuniculus (rabbit), 134 nucleotides. Its record names the gene SNORA70. It matches the Rfam family "Small nucleolar RNA SNORA70". Rfam says of the family: snoRNA U70 seems to be exclusive to mammals and is a member of the H/ACA class of snoRNA which contain H (ANANNA) and ACA box motifs. H/ACA box snoRNAs are involved in the conversion of uridines to pseudouridines (5-ribosyluracil) a constituent of structural RNAs (transfer, ribosomal, small nuclear, and small nucleolar). The record is from Ensembl. Lineage: Eukaryota; Metazoa; Chordata; Mammalia; Lagomorpha; Leporidae.
AUAAAUCUUAAGAAAAAACCAGACAAACAACUUGAAGGGGGCCUGGUGUGCAGUGGCUGCAAACAGCAGGCUCCUUGGCAGCGUGUGCAGCCUACUGCUUGUUUAGGCUGCUCUGAGGGACCUUGAACACAGCC